UAAUACCGCAUAAAAUCUUUGGAGGGCAUCCUCUGAAGAUCAAAGGAGAAAUCCGCUCAUGGAUGGACCCGCGUCUGAUUAGCUAGUUGGUGGGGUAAAGGCUUACCAAGGCGACGAUCAGUAGCCGGCCUGAGAGGGUGACCGGCCACACUGGGACUGAGACACGGCCCAGACUCCUACGGGAGGCAGCAGUGGGGAAUCUUCCGCAAUGGGCGAAAGCCUGACGGAGCAACGCCGCGUGAAUGACGAAGGCCUUCGGGUUGUAAAAUUCUGUCUUGAGGGACGAAAAAAAAGACGGU
Molecule: ribosomal RNA, 299 nt
Filed under: uncultured Bacillota bacterium
Lineage: Bacteria; Bacillati; Bacillota
Description: uncultured Firmicutes bacterium partial 16S ribosomal RNA
Rfam family: Bacterial small subunit ribosomal RNA
Source: RNAcentral